Molecule: ribosomal RNA, 417 nt
Filed under: uncultured bacterium
Lineage: Bacteria
Description: bacterial SSU rRNA
Rfam family: Bacterial small subunit ribosomal RNA
Source: RNAcentral
AGAGUUUGAUCCUGGCUCAGAUUGAACGCUGGCGGCACGCCUAACACGUGCAAGUCGAGCGGCAGCGGGAUAUGUAGCAAUACAUAUUGCCGGCGAGCGGCGGACGGGUGAGUAAUACGUAAGAAUCUGCCCUCAAGCGGGGGAUAACUAAUGGAAACGUUAGCUAAUACCGCAUAAUCUCGGAAGAGAAAAGGUGCCCGUAAGGGUGUCACUUGAGGAGGAGCUUGCGUCUGAUUAGCUAGUUGGUGGGGUAAGAGCCUACCAAGGCGAUGAUCAGUAACUGGUCUGAGAGGACGACCAGUCACACUGGGACUGAGACACGGCCCAGACUCCUACGGGAGGCAGCAGUGGGGAAUAUUGGACAAUGGGGGAAACCCUGAUCCAGCGAUGCCGCGUGAGUGAAGAAGGCCUUCGGGU